CCUAUGGGUUGGGGGGAUGUGUGCUCGCUAAGACAUCGCGUCUUAUGCCUACGUAUCUCAUCUGGAAUGAGAAUCAGAGCAAGCCGUAGUUCGGCUAACUACGGGGUUAUGGAUUGGGUUUUGGACGAACGACGUCACUACGCAAUCUACCGGAUGCUCGACCUUUGGAGACUUACUCGCCUGUAGUAGAAGGAGUAAACGUGUUAGGAGAAGAAAAAUCAAUAAAGGGUUAGGGUUUGGGAUGCUCAUGCAAAAAGGGAAAUCCUAGACGAAGGAACCUGCAUAAAGUAAACACACAAAAACAUUGCCUCCUAUCGAGGUCUUCCAGCUAGGAAAGCAGUAAAAGGCGGGAAAAAUAUAAAAGUACCACACGGAUAAAGAUCUGAAGUAACAGUAAUUAACGGAACAAGGAAACCCUGAGAUCCUCCCAAGCUAACACCGUCAAAGAAAGUGAGUCAGUACAGGUAAUCGGAAUGAAACCUCAGGUGGUAUCCCAUAAAUAAAGUGGAA
This 510-nucleotide long non-coding RNA is filed under the name Lathyrus oleraceus (garden pea). RNAcentral describes it as "Pisum sativum (pea) long non-coding RNA (PSAT_LNC018717)". Lineage: Eukaryota; Viridiplantae; Streptophyta; Magnoliopsida; Fabales; Fabaceae. The record is from RNAcentral.